UCUAGUUCUCAAUAAAUAGACAGCAAAACCCAUACUGUCUUUCACAGCAACUCGACAAUGGCUUCAACAAAACCCACAUCACUCAUUGUCUCCAUCACCUUCUUCUUCUUCUUCUUCUUCUUCUUCUUCUUCUUCUGUCUUCUCCUCCAACCCUCAUCGGCCCAAACCGUCGUUAAAGGGUCGUACUGGUUUCCAGAGAGUGAAUUCCCAGUUACCGACAUUAACUCAUCUCACUUCACUCACCUCUUCUGUGCUUUCGCUGAUCUCAACUCUCAAAACAAUCAAGUCACUAUCUCCUCCACCAACCAACCAAAAUUUUCAACCUUUACACAAACCGUGCAAAGGAGAAACCCUUCAUACCCUCGGUUUAGAGAUUACAGAAUAAUUUGAUUAUUUACUAUCAAGUGGUUGUUUGAUUAUAGUACUUAUAAGUUGCGUUUUAAGGAUUCAAUUGGAGUUUAGGGUUGUAAGCAUUCUCAGGCCAAGCAAGUUAACUUCAUUUCAUACCCUCGGUUUAGAGAUUACAGAAUAAUUUGAUUAUUUGCUAUCAAGUGGUUGUUUGAUUAUAGUACUUAUAAGUUGCGUUUUAAGGAUUCAAUUGGAGUUUAGGGUUUAAGAAAAAAUAUGAUAAAGGGGAUGAUGUGGUAAAAGGAUAUGGUGUAAAUAGAUAAGUGAUUUUGGGGUUUAGGGAUUUGAUUUUCGGGGUUUCAGAUAUACUCCUAGUAAAUUCGUCGUAAUAGAAAACACACGGGCCUGGUAGAUUCCUCGUAAUACAUGUGUCCUUGUAAAUUUGUUGUAAUGCUUUCCUUGUAAUCUCAUUGUAAAGUUUUCCUUGUAAAGUCAUCGUAAAGUUUUCCUUGUAAGUUCGUCGUAAAUAUUCCUUGUAAAUUCAUUGUAAUUUUAAAAACGCGGACCUGGUAGAUUCCUCGUAACACUAAAAACGCGGACCUGGUAGAUUCCUCGUAAAAUUACGACGACUUUACGAGGAGUGUUGUUUUCUUAUAUAAACUCGAAACAUGAAUGAAGAAUGCCUCCUUCAUUCCUCUCAAACCACUCCUCUCUUUCUCUCACUCAUUGUAAAGUUUUCCUUGUAAAGUCAUCGUAAAGUUUUCCUUGUAAGUUCGUCGUAAAUAUUCCUUGUAAAUUCAUUGUAAUUUUAAAAACGCGGACCUGGUAGAUUCCUCGUAACACUAAAAACGCGGACCUGGUAGAUUCCUCGUAAAAUUACGACGACUUUACGAGGAGUGUUGUUUUCUUAUAUAAACUCGAAACAUGAAUGAAGAAUGCCUCCUUCAUUCCUCUCAAACCACUCCUCUCUUUCUCUCAAAGGU
RNAcentral lists this long non-coding RNA (1331 nucleotides) under Brassica napus (rape). RNAcentral's name for it is "long non-coding RNA (BNAP_LNC014438)". The record is from RNAcentral. Lineage: Eukaryota; Viridiplantae; Streptophyta; Magnoliopsida; Brassicales; Brassicaceae.